Molecule: ribosomal RNA, 207 nt
Filed under: uncultured bacterium
Lineage: Bacteria
Description: partial 16S ribosomal RNA
Rfam family: Bacterial small subunit ribosomal RNA
Source: RNAcentral
CGCGUAGGUGGUUUGUUAAGUUGGAUGCGAAAGCCCCGGGCUCAACCUGGGAACUGCAUCCAAAACUGGCAAGCUAGAGUACGGUAGAGGGUGGUGGAAUUUCCUGUGUAGCGGUGAAAUGCGUAGAUAUAGGAAGGAACACCAGUGGCGAAGGCGACCACCUGGACUGAUACUGACACUGAGGUGCGAAAGCGUGGGGAGCAAACA